RNAcentral lists this small RNA (7784 nucleotides) under Pyricularia oryzae. RNAcentral describes it as "Magnaporthe oryzae sRNA M_BR32_EuGene_00000021". The record is from RNAcentral. Lineage: Eukaryota; Fungi; Ascomycota; Sordariomycetes; Magnaporthales; Pyriculariaceae.
GGAAUAAUAUGUUAAUUUCUCGCGUUUAUAGCAGUAGUGGUAUAAUAUCUGCAUUGCAAACACAAUAGGGAAUACAAUUAAAAUAUUGCGUAUUUUUGAAAAUUAGAAAAUUAACAUUUUUAUGGAAUAAAACUCUACAAAUAGAGUAAAAAUACUAUAUAGAAAAGUUAAAUACUCAAAAUUUUGGCCUAAUAUUAUACUUUGGGUACAAAGAUAUUAAAAUUAAAUACAAUAAUUGCAAAUAAAAAAUUAAUAAAAAAUUAAUUAACGAAGUAAUUGGAUAUUUUAAAAUUUAAUAAAUUAAAAGUUACAUUAUUUAAAUUUUGAAUUUUUUGAGUUUUUGAAAAAAAACCUUAUAAUUUGGAAACGUCAGGGGCUUUGUAAAAUUAUUAGCAGGUAAUUAAUUAAAUAUUAAAUAUUUUAAAAUUAUUAAUUUUUUAUAAUAAAUUCCCGUACGUAAUAAAUUUUUGACAAUAUAUAUUUAAUACGUUAAUAAUAUAUAAAAUUAUACAUAUUACUUAUAAAACUUAUAUUAUUUUAAAAUAACGCAAUAAGGUUGUUUACAAAUAAUUUUAUUUUUAUAUGUAAACUUUUAAACUGUUAUAUUUUACUUAGGGUUUCUUUUAAAAUAUCGGUUUUGGUCUUCGAAGUUUUCAAAAAUAUAAUAUUAACUUUGUUAAUUAUAUGUAUUAUUUUGCAUAUAAUAAGCCCACUUUUAUUUAUAUAUAACCUAUUUUAUAUAAUUCCGAAAUGGGGUGGUUGGAAUUCCUUUAAUUUAUUAAAUGCAGGAAUUGCAAUUUAAAAAUUAAUAAAUGGGAUUAAUUACCCUGUACCGGGUUUGUAAAUUUACGAUUACGUGCGAACCCAAAAAUAAUUUGUUAGCAAAUAAGGGUGUUUUUUAAUAAACCCAUACAAAUUAAUUUUUCGGAAAUUUAUUUGCGGUACCGGAAACCUUUUUGGCGUGCCGAACCCCAUUUUAAUAUCGGAAAAUAUAUAAGAGAAUAAAGCAAAAUCCUCCCACCAAUAUAUUAUUGUCCAAUUAUGUAUAACGUUCCACAUUUUAAUGCAUUUAGCGCUUUUAACACUGGUUAUUUACCACACCGCACAUAGGAUUACCACUUAUACCCCCUGUUAACACUUGUAUUAUUACCAAACCUUUUUGUAUUUUAACGUUAUAAAACCCCCAAAUAGGGUAUAUAAAUAUUUUUAAAUGGACUUUAAAUUACUUUUAAGCCCGGUAAAAUUGCUGCUAUUAAAACCGAGUAAGUUUUAGUUUUUAUAACUCCCAAUUAGCAAAUUAAAUAUUAAUUCGGUUUUAAUUAUAUUAUUUUCGUAACAAAUUAUUAAAAAUUUAAUAUUUGUUAAAUAAAUUGUAAUAUGUUCUGUUAAAAAAACGAAAUAAUUAUUAGACCUUAUAAUUAGUAUUUAAACGGGCUAAUAGUGUUAAAAAUGUUAAAAUACCGGUUAUACGCUACGAUAAUUUAAUUUCCGACGCAUAUAUAAAUUUACCUCUAUUAUAUUUUAAUAUACCCGAAUGUAAAAAAAUAAAACUUAUAUUGCUAUUAAUUAAUUCAAAUGUUGCUAAUAUUUCCUUAAUCUAUUAAUUUUAAUCCAGUUAAAAUAAGCGGUUAAAUUUAUCCAUAUAAUAAUUUUGUUUAUUAUUUUUUAGGUUGGAUUUUUCAACCGUAUAGUACCUUCUCCAACUAUAUAAUUUAAAUUUGUUUCGAAUUAUAACUUAUUUGCCUUAUAAUUUCAAUUAUAAUAACAGUUAGAAACCCUAACCCAUUUGCUAAAACCCUUUGGAAUUUGCGAAUAAAUAUUUAUAUUGGUAAAGUUACUAUUUAAAACCGCACCAAUAAAGUCGAUUUACUUUUAUUAAUUAUAUAUAUUAUUAUUUUUCGCAUAUAAUAAAUCCAAUUUUAUUAAUAUAUAAUUUAUAAUAUAUAACGGCAAAAUGGGGUUAUUAACUUAUCCGUUAAUUUUAUAAUUACAAAUAUUGCAAUUAAAAAAUUAGCGAAUGGGGUUAAUUAUUUUAUACCGGGUUUAAUACCCACUUUGCACUUGCAAACUAACUACCGUAUAUUUAAUUAAAACAAUUAUUUUUACGUGCAAAUCCAAAAAUAAUUUAUUAAUAAAUAAAGGCAUUUUUUCAAAAACUUGUACAAAUUAACUUUUCGGAAACUUUUCUACGGUUCCAAACCCAUUUUUGGCGUACCAAUUCCCAUUUUAAUAUCGGAAAAAUAUUAAAAAGAAAAAAAAUAGUUGCCCAAGUAAACUAAUAAUGGUUACAUAUUUAAAUUAUAGGGUAUUUAUAAUAGCAAUAUAAUAAAAUAGGAGUUUGGGUUUUAUAAUUAUUAUUAUAUAUAAAAAUACAAUUGAAAACAAAUAAAAAUAAAAAACGAACGCCAUCGCGUUUGUUAGUAAAAGAAACCGUUGCGCGUGGUUUAAUAUACGGAUUUUACCCUGUUAAAUUUAACCCUGCAAACGCCUAUUUUGUAAAAUAAUAAUUGUUAAAUUUGCCGAUUAAUAAUAUUACCCCUUUUCCCCGCCGUAUAUAAAAAUAUAUAAAUUAUGCGGAUUUAAAUCCGAAUAUUUUCCAAAUGAAAAAAAUAUAUUUUCGGAUAUUAUUUACUAUUACGCCAAAACGUUUCAGUUUUUUAACUUCGCGGAUUUAUAUUUUUACGUUUGUUUAAAAAUCCCCCGUACAGGAAAUUUUAUAAGCCGGGGCAAAUUUCAAACAAAAAUUCGAUUAUUUCCGAAUUUUAUUUAAAUUAAUUUUUUUUCGCAAUUUUCGUUUUGUUAUUCGGUUAAUUACCGGUAAAUUAUUAUUUAUUUACUAUAUUCAAAAUACUUUUUUAAUACCAUUUAUUUUUAUUUAGCGAAUUUUAAUGGAAAACUUAUUUUAUCCGGAUUGUUUUUAUAAUAUUACUGGAAUAUUAUUCGAAAUUUUUUAGAAGCUUUCGUUUUAUAUUAUUUCAAGUCCUAUUCCUAUUUCUCUACUAUAUUUAAUACAAUACCUCACUAUAAUCUAAUUUGAAAAUUAUAACUUUUUAUAUUUCCCCUUUUUUAAUUAAUAAUCCCGGUUUCCGGACUUAAUUAUUAUUGUUUCCGGAAUGGAUCUCGUAAUAAUUGUCGAAAAUAAUUAACGUUGGAAAUUUUGUAAUUUUGUCCAAAAUUUGGGUAUGUUAAAAGAAAAUAUAAAUAUCCAAUUUCCAGGAUUUUAUUAACGGUUUUAAUUAAUGGAAAAUCUAAUAUAUUAUUUAAUUAAUUUAUUAAUUAACUUUUUUAACAAUAUAAAUAAAAUUACUAAUUCCAAAAUUAGGCGGCCAUUAAGUUUUAUUUUAUUAUUAAUAUAUAUAUUUAGGAUAAAAUUAAUAUGUCACGUAUUUGCCCGACGAUAUAAUAGAUACAACAAAUGGAUUAAAAGAUCCUGCAGUACCUGCACUUACCAAAUACCUUGUCGGUCCCAAUUAUAAGGCCUUGUUAAACGAAUAUAAUAUAAUAUUUAUUUGUUACGCCAUUUCAAUAUAUUAUUGUUAAGUUCAAAUAAUUUUUGAGACGGGUUUUAAUAAUAUUUUUCAACAUGGAUAUUUUCUUAUUAACCUAGUAAUUUUCCAAUUAAAAUAUAAAUUAAUAUUAGGUAUUUUAAAUUGAUUCCGGACGGGGGGAAUUUUAAAAAAUAAGAUAUUGGUGAAGUAAUAUUAUUUAUAUUAUAUUUAAUACCGGUAUUAUUGCGUUUUAAUCAUUUUAAUUAUAAUUUAUAUAUACCUUUAAUUUUUGGUUAAUAUAUUUGUUUAUUAUUUCGAUUUGUAUAAUAAUUUAGAAAUAAUUUGCGGUGAAAUAUUUUUAUUAUAUUUCCAGGUAUUUCGAGACAAUUGCGGUGUUUUAUCAAAUAUAAUUUAUAUUAUAUUUAAAUAUUUAAUCAAAUCCGCUAUAAUGCAUUUCUGCGGCGUUUUAAGCGGUAAUAGUGCUUAAAUAAAAUACCCUUCUGGUUUUUUUAUUAAAAGUAUAUUAUUAAUAAUAUAAUAUUAGAAUUUAAUUAGAAUUUGGAUAUAUUAUUAAAACUUAUUAUAAUUAUAUAUUAUUAUAUUUGUUGGAGUUGGUUACAAUUAUAAUAAUUCUGGUAUUUUAUUUAUUAAUAAUUUUAAAAAGCAAUAAUUGCAAUUAAUUAUAUGACGGUCGACGUUAGAAAUUUGUUUUGGUUAUUUAAAUCGCGAAUAUAUUUAUUUUUCGUUGUAUUUUUUCCCAAAAAAUAUAUAAAUAUCCGUCCGUAUAUUUCGCGAGUAACUUCAAUUAUUAAUUUUAGGGAAUUACCAAACGGUUUUAAAAUAAAGUAUAUUGAUUAUAUAAUAAACGGAAACUCCCAUCUUUUUUUAGAAAUUUGGGUACGGUAAAUAACCUAUUUUAAAUUUCCGGUAUUAAUAAAUAAUACUCGGUUAAUAAAAGAAUACCUUUUCCAAAAACCCGUUUUCGGUUGGCAAAUUUGGGGGCUUUUAAUAGUAAUAUAAUAGCGUAUAUAUAGUUAAUUUUGUAAGAAUUACGCUCCGCGUCGUUUAAUAAUUUAAAAAUAAUUAUAUACCGUUUUAUUUCCAAUAUAGUUUUUUAAUUGGCUAAAGUUUCCAAUUUGUUCAUUAGGGCGUUGGUCUUUCUGGUUGUUCUAACAAUAUAUUACCUCGAAAUUAUGUUUGGUAAAGGAAUUAAUUUAAACGGGUUAUUAAACGUUUAAAUAGUAUUUAAACUUUAAUUUUCGACGAAACCGUAGACCACUAUCGCGAUUGGAAAACUAAACCCAAAAGUAUUUAAAUAAUAAAUACUUUAGUUUUACAAUUUGGUUUUACGUGCUUUUACGUAAGUAAAAAGGCUAUAAGACUAAAUAUAUAAGUUUAUAUAAUCUAUGGGUUUUUAUAACGUGAAGUAUAUAUUAUUUAAAUCUAAAACUAGUAUAUAAAAUAGGAAAAGUACUUGUUAAUAUAAUCUUUGAAGCCCUGGUUACAAAUCCAAUUGAAAUAUAUAUAUUAAAUGAGAAAACUUGUGCAAAACCUAGUUUGUAAAAAUUAUUAUACUUUUCAUUUUAUAUUAUAAAUUUUUAAUAGAAUUUAACCUGGUAAAGUUAUUUACAAAAAUCUAAUUUGCUAUAAACAAUAAUUAAAAUUUAAAUUGCUUAUCAAAUAAUUAAUUCUGUUAAUUUUAAUAAAAUAAAUAUAUAAUAAUAUUUAAAAUAUAGUAAAUAUGUUAAAAUAUAUAACAUUGCAAUUUUUAAUAUUUAAUAUUAUAUAAAAUUCAAGUAAAAAUAAAAUGUUUUAAUAUUUAUUUUUAAUUUAGUUUCAAAUUCAAAACUGCGAUCUUGUAAACUUAUAUAUAAUAGAUAAAUUGCUUUUACGAAUUUUUAUAUAAUUAUUUUGUUUAAACUAAUAAGAUUAAUUAUUUAAUAAAAUAUUCAAACUUUUAUUUUUAUAUAGUAAAUUAGGUUUUUAUAACCAAUUUUGCCAAUUUAGGCUCAUUUAAAUAUAAAAAACAAAAUAACUUUUAUAAAGUAAACUUUAAAUAAACUUUCCAAUUUAAUUUAUAUAUUUUAUUUCAAACUAUUACCAGGGGGUAAAGGUUUGUAUUUAUAAAUUAUUCUUAACUUCGUAUUCUAAUUAUAUCGUAACUUUAUUAUCGAAAAGAAUAUUUUAAAUUUACAAAUAAUAUUCGAAGUUUACAAUUCCGAAAUGUAUUUUAUAUAUCCUAAUUUUAUUAAAAGUUAACUAAAAAAUGCAUUUUAUUCUCGUUAGGGCACAUUUGGGUUUAGUUUUUAAUAAUAAUAAUAAUAGCCCACGGUUUUGUCGAAAAUUAAAGUUUUGUAACCCCCUUUUUAAGGGGGCCUAUAACGAACAACCUCCAAAUAUAACGUUCCGAGGAAAAUUAAAUUAUUAGUUUAAUUUUUAUAUUAAUUUACGGCGUUAAGAUCUAAAUAAUAUUUACCGCAGUUAUUUUCUAAUAUAUUUAUAAUAAUUGUUUUUUCCGAAGGUUUUUAUUAAUUACAAAAUGGUUUUUUUACCACUUUGUUAUUAUUAAACAUAAUUACAUAUCGCGCGUAUUUUUAAUUUCUUUUCAAACUAAUAUCCGUUUGCAUAUAAAGUUUAUUAUAAACAUUAUUUUCUAUUUAUUUUAUUCAAACGAGUAUAUUUACUUAACUGGGUCUAUAUAAUCGAACAAACUUCCGUACAAUAGCAGUUUAAUUUUAGGGAAGUAAAAGAAUGUUAUACGCGUUAUAACAUUAUAUUUAAAAGAAAAACGCGUUAUAUCAUAUAAAUAGGUGUUAUAUUUUUAAUAAAACGCGGAAAUAAAACUGUUCCCAACAAUUUAGCAGGUUUCAACUCAAAUUAAAUUUAAUAUAGUUAAAUAUUUUAUGAAGAAUUAGAAUAUACGCCGUUAAAAUUAAUUGCGGUAAUCUAAUACGGGAUAUAUCCCCGAUCCGGCGCGCAAAUGCCGGAUCCGACCGUUCGGACCACCGCCGAAAAUAAAAUAAAUUAAAAAUGAAAUAAAAGUAAAAUAAUAAAGUAAAUAUGGGAUUAAAAACGUAAAAGAAUAUAAUUUUAAAAAUUUGCGGCCGUUUGGUAAUAUUUUUUAAUUGUUUGGGAUAUAAUUUUCGUUUGGGAAAUUUCUUUUUUUAUAUUUCGGGCGAUUUGGUAUUAUUGCAACGCAAUUUUAUUUAUUGCACCGUCGUUUUAACGUUUGUAAUGCGCAAAUUGAUAUUUUAAUUAAAUUUAUUCUAAUUUAAUAUUUUCAAACUGUUUUGGUUUAUAAGUAUAAUGUCGCAAAUUAUUUUGGACUUUUUCGCCGCAAAUACCUUAUAUUAUAAUUAGUUCGGUUUUAAAUAAUAUUUUUUAAAAAGAUCCGGGCGGAUAUUUCGGAUUUUCCGCGUUUAUACCCGAAUUGCUGGCCAAAUUUAAAAUUUUUCACCUAAAGACAAAUCGCCUGAAAAUUGGGAUUUUUAAACAAAUAUAAAAAAACUAAAUUAAUAUUUUAAUUUUAAAUGAAAUUUAUAUCAAUUUUUUUAACAAGAAAUUUGCGGGUUUUUUUGGAAAUAAAUAUUUUUCAAUAAAAUAAAUGGAAAAAUCGGGAAAAUCGCGGUGUUGCCAAAUGUAAACAAAUUCGGGCCAAAUUAGUCGCCGACAUUUUUGCGGCGCAAUUUGUAAAAUUAAAGUUUAUUCCCAAAUAAAUCGGCGCGACAUUAACCAAAUCCGUUAAUAAUUUAGUAACGCGGGUUUUAAUACGGCGAAACGCGCCGGUAAACGCGUUCCGAAAAUAAUUGCUAAUUAUACAUAUUAUCCGUAAUAAAUAACAAAAUUUAUAACAAUCCGGUAUAUUAUAAUUAUAAAGGAAAUUUGGCCGAAUAUAGAAGAAUUUAAAUGUUGGAAUUAUUAUUAUAAAUACCGCAAAUUUAAAUUAAUAUAAACGGAGCAAAUUAUCUUUUUAACCGCAAUUCUAUAUUAACCAACUAAUUCUUUAAAUUUAGGUUUUAUAAUUGCCGCGGUAAUUAACGCCCAAAAAAAAAUAAAAUAUAUUACCAAUUUUUUAUUAUUAAUCGCGUCCGUUUCGUAAUUAAUAUUCCGCAAACCAAAGAAAGUUUUCGGGAUGGAAUAAUUAAUAUCGCGGCCGCAAAAGUCGAUAUUGUUUCGAUUAAUUAAACAAAGCUUUUUGCAAUUUAUAUUACCGGGAAAAAUUUGAAACGCGUAUUUUAAAUAAUUUUGCGGAGAAAAUGUAUUUUUUGCGAUUUAAUAAUUAUAAUAUUUAAAAUU